This 502-nucleotide ribosomal RNA is filed under the name uncultured bacterium. RNAcentral's name for it is "partial 16S ribosomal RNA". It matches the Rfam family "Bacterial small subunit ribosomal RNA", at positions 28 to 507 of the family's 1533-position model. The record is from RNAcentral.
GACGAACGCUGGCGGCGUGCUUAACACAUGCAAGUCGAACGGUGAAGGGGUCUGCUUUUGUGGGCCCUGGAUGAGUGGCGAACGGGUGAGUAACACGUGAGUAACCUGCCCCCUUCUUCUGGAUAACCGCAUGAAAGUGUGGCUAAUACGGGAUAUUCUGGGUCUGUCGCAUGAUGGGUCUGGGAAAGAUUGCGCCUUUGGGUGUUUUUGGUGGGGGAUGGGCUCGCGGCCUAUCAGCUUGUUGGUGGGGUGAUGGCCUACCAAGGCGGUGACGGGUAGCCGGCCGGAGAGGGGGGACGGUCACACGGGGCCUGAGACACGGCCCAGACGCCUACGGGAGGCAGCAGUGGGGAAUAUUGCACAAUGGGCGCAAGCCUGAUGCAGCGACGCCGCGUGAGGGAGGGAGGCCUUCGGGUUGUAAACCUCUUUCGCCAGUGAAGCAGGCCUGCUCCUUGUGGGUGGGUUGACGGUAGCUGGAUAAGAAGCGCCGGCUAACUACGUG